UACGGAGGAUCCGAGCGUUAUCCGGAUUUAUUGGGUUUAAAGGGUGCGCAGGCGGGGGAUUAAGUCGGCGGUGAAAUUUUGCAGCUCAACUGUAAAAGUGCCUUCGAAACUGGUUUCCUUGAGUGUAGAUGAAGUAGGCGGAAUUUGUGGUGUAGCGGUGAAAUGCAUAGACAUUACACAGAACACCGAUUGCGAAGGCAGCUUACUAAUCCAUCAUUGACGCUGAGGCACGAAAGCGUGGGGAUCAAACAGGAUUAGAUACCCGUGUAGU
RNAcentral lists this ribosomal RNA (271 nucleotides) under uncultured prokaryote. RNAcentral's name for it is "partial 16S ribosomal RNA". It matches the Rfam family "Bacterial small subunit ribosomal RNA", at positions 524 to 794 of the family's 1533-position model. The record is from RNAcentral.